RNAcentral lists this ribosomal RNA (1244 nucleotides) under metagenome. RNAcentral's name for it is "bacterial LSU rRNA". It matches the Rfam family "Bacterial large subunit ribosomal RNA", at positions 1564 to 2818 of the family's 2925-position model. The record is from RNAcentral.
UGAAUACGAGACGCUAAGGCGUCGAAGUAGUGUAUGUCAUACUUCCAAGAAAAGCUUGCACUGUCAUAGAUAAAAAACGCCUGUACCAUAACCGACACAGGUGGGUAGGUAGAGUAUACUAAGGGGCGCGAGAUAACUCUCUCUAAGGAACUCGGCAAAAUAACUCCGUAACUUCGGGAGAAGGAGUGCCUUAUUCUUAAGGUUGCAAUAACAAGAUCCAAGCAACUGUUUAUCAAAAACACAGGUCUCCGCUAAGUCGUAAGACGAUGUAUGGGGGCUGACGCCUGCCCAGUGCCAGAAGGUUAAAGAAGCUGGUUAGCAUUUGCGAAGCUAGUAACUGAAGCCCUGGUGAACGGCGGCCGUAACAAUAACGGUCCUAAGGUAGCGAAAUUCCUUGUCGGGUAAGUUCCGACCCGCACGAAAGGCGUAAUGAUUUGGAUACUGUCUCGGAGAGGGGCUCGGUGAAAUAGACUUGUCUGUGAAGAUGCGGACUACCUGCACCAGGACAGAAAGACCCUAUGAAGCUUUACUGUAACUUGAAAUUGAAAUUGGACUUUAUUCGCGCAGUAUAGGUGGGAGGCGUUGAUUAUAAUCUUGCGGGAUUAUUGGAGCCAUUAGUGAGAUACCACUCUUGUAAUGUUAGAUUUCUAACUUUGAAUCAUUAUCUGGUCAAAGAACAGUUUCAGGCGGGCAGUUUGACUGGGGCGGUCGCCUCCUAAACGGUAACGGAGGCGUACAAAGGUUUCCUCUGAACGGUUAGAAAUCGUAUCUAGAGUGUAAAGGCAUAAGGAAGCUUGACUGUGAGACCUACAAGUCGAGCAGGGACGAAAGUUGGUCUUAGUGAUCUGACGGUACUGAGUGGAAAGGCCGUCACUCAACGGAUAAAAGUUACUCUAGGAUAACAGGCUGAUCUCCCCCAAGAGUUCACAUCGACGGGGAGGUUUGGCACCUCGAUGUCGGCUCAUCGCAUCCCGGGGCGGUAGUACGUCCCAAGGUUUGGGCUGUUCGCCCAUGAAAGCGGUACGCGAGCUGGGUUCAGAACGUCGUGAGACAGUUCGGUCCAUAUCCGGUGUAGGCGUUAGAAUAUUGAGAGGAGCCUUCUUUAGUACGAGAGGACCGAGAAGGACAUACCUCUGGUGUACCAGUUAUCGUGCCAACGGUAAACGCUGGGUAGCUAUGUAUGGAGUGGAUAACCGCUGAAAGCAUCUAAGUGGGAAGCCCACCUCAAGAUAAGUAUUCUCAUC